Molecule: ribosomal RNA, 492 nt
Filed under: uncultured bacterium
Lineage: Bacteria
Description: partial 16S ribosomal RNA
Rfam family: Bacterial small subunit ribosomal RNA
Source: RNAcentral
AGUGAACGCUGGCGGUAGGCCUAACACAUGCAAGUCGAACGGCAGCACAGUAAGAGCUUGCUCUUACGGGUGGCGAGUGGCGGACGGGUGAGGAAUACAUCGGAAUCUACUUUUUCGUGGGGGAUAACGUAGGGAAACUUACGCUAAUACCGCAUACGACCUACGGGUGGAAGCAGGGGAUCUUCGGACCUUUCGCGUCUGAAUUAGCCGAUGUCGGAUUAGCUAGUUGGCGGGGUAAAGGCCCACCAAGGCAACGAUCCGUAGCAGGUCUGAGAGGAUGAUCAGCCACACUGGAACUGAGACACGGUCCAGACUCCUACGGGAGGCAGCAGUGGGGAAUAUUCGACAAUGGGCGCAAGCCUGAUCCAGCCAUACCGCGUGGGUGAAGAAGGCCUUCGGGUUGUAAAGCCCUUUUGUUGGGAAAGAAAAGCAGCAGGUUAAUACCCCGCUGUUUUGACGGUACCCAAAGAAUAAGCACCGGCUAACUUCGUG